This 67-nucleotide transfer RNA is filed under the name bovine gut metagenome. It matches the Rfam family "tRNA", at positions 5 to 66 of the family's 71-position model. Rfam says of the family: Transfer RNA (tRNA) molecules are approximately 80 nucleotides in length. The record is from RNAcentral.
GCUAUAGCUCAGCUGGAUAGAGCGACCGCCUCCUAAGCGGUAGGCCGGAGGUUCGAAUCCUCUUAGU